RNAcentral lists this ribosomal RNA (254 nucleotides) under uncultured bacterium. RNAcentral's name for it is "partial 16S ribosomal RNA". It matches the Rfam family "Bacterial small subunit ribosomal RNA", at positions 524 to 776 of the family's 1533-position model. The record is from RNAcentral.
UACAGAGGUCUCAAGCGUUGUUCGGAUUCAUUGGGCGUAAAGGGUGCGUAGGCGGUGUGUCGCGUCGGCCGUGAAAACCUGGGGCUCAACUCUGGGCGUGCGGUCGAUACGGGCAUCACUGGAGUUCGGCAGGGGAGACUGGAAUUCCUGGUGUAGCGGUGAAAUGCGCAGAUAUCAGGAGGAACACCGGUGGCGAAGGCGGGUCUCUGGGCCGAUACUGACGCUGAGGAGCGAAAGCAUGGGUAGCGAACAGG